RNAcentral lists this ribosomal RNA (364 nucleotides) under uncultured bacterium. Its description in RNAcentral is "bacterial SSU rRNA". It matches the Rfam family "Bacterial small subunit ribosomal RNA", at positions 28 to 392 of the family's 1533-position model. The record is from RNAcentral.
GAUGAACGCUGGCGGCGUGCCUAAUACAUGCAAGUCGAACGGAGAUUGUAGCAAUACGGUCUCAGUGGCGAACGGGUGAGUAACGCGUUGGUGACCUGCCCCAAAGAGCGGGAUAACAGUUCGAAAGGACUGCUAAUACCGCAUGUGAUCUCCGGGACUAGAAGCCUGGAGAUGGAAGGGAGAAAUCCGCUUUGGGAGGGACCUGCGUCCCAUCAGCUAGUUGGUAGGGUAACGGCCUACCAAGGCGAUGACGGGUAGGGGACCUGAGAGGGUGGCCCCCCACAAUGGAACUGAAACACGGUCCAUACACCUACGGGUGGCAGCAGUAGGGAAUAUUGGUUAAUGGGCGAAAGCCUGAACCAGC